RNAcentral lists this ribosomal RNA (255 nucleotides) under uncultured bacterium. Its description in RNAcentral is "partial 16S ribosomal RNA". It matches the Rfam family "Bacterial small subunit ribosomal RNA", at positions 100 to 353 of the family's 1533-position model. The record is from RNAcentral.
GAACGGGUGAGUAACGCGUGGGUAACCUGCCUCACACAGGGGGAUAACAGUUGGAAACGGCUGCUAAUACCGCAUAAGCGCACAGUACCGCAUGGUACAGUGUGAAAAACUCCGGUGGUGUGAGAUGGAUCCGCGUCUGAUUAGCUAGUUGGCAGGGCAACGGCCUACCAAGGCGACGAUCAGUAGCCGACCUGAGAGGGUGACCGGCCACAUUGGGACUGAGACACGGCCCAAACUCCUACGGGAGGUAGCAUG